CCUACGGGUGGCAGCAGUGGGGGAUAUUGCACAAUGGGGGAAACCCUGAUGCAGCGACGCCGCGUGGGUGAAGAAGCGCCUCGGCGCGUAAAGCCCUGUCAGCAGGGAAGAAAAUGACGGUACCUGAAGAAGAAGCCCCGGCUAACUACGUGCCAGCAGCCGCGGUAAUACGUAGGGGGCAAGCGUUAUCCGGAUUUACUGGGGGGAAAGGGGGCGCAGACGGCGAUGCAAGCCAGGAGUGAAAGCCCGGGGCCCAACCCCGGGACUGCUCUUGGAACUGCGUGGCUAGAGUGCAGGAGGGGCAGGCGGAAUUCCUGGUGUAGCGGUGAAAUGCGUAGAUAUCAGGAGGAACACCGGUGGCGAAGGCGGCCUACUGGACGGUGACUGACGCUGAGGCUCGAAAGCGUGGGGAGCAAACAGGAUUAGAUACCCGAGUAGUC
RNAcentral lists this ribosomal RNA (440 nucleotides) under uncultured bacterium. RNAcentral's name for it is "partial 16S ribosomal RNA". It matches the Rfam family "Bacterial small subunit ribosomal RNA", at positions 338 to 795 of the family's 1533-position model. The record is from RNAcentral.